UACGUAGGCAGCGAGCGUUGUUCGGAGUUACUGGGCGUAAAGAGUGCGUAGGCGGUUUUCUAAGUUUGGUGUGAAAUCUCCCGGCUUAACUGGGAGGGUGCGCCGAAAACUGGAAGGCUUGAGUAUGGGAGAGGUAAGCGGAAUUCCUGGUGUAGCGGUGAAAUGCGUAGAUAUCGGGAGGAACACCAGUGGCGUAAGCGAUUACCUGGGCUAGACCUGACGCUGAGGGACGAAGGCGUGGGAAGCAAACGGG
RNAcentral lists this ribosomal RNA (253 nucleotides) under uncultured bacterium. Its description in RNAcentral is "partial 16S ribosomal RNA". It matches the Rfam family "Bacterial small subunit ribosomal RNA", at positions 524 to 776 of the family's 1533-position model. The record is from RNAcentral.